AAAUUUUCACUUUGGAUUUCAAAACAACAUGGCUGCUGCCAUUCUAUUGUCUCACACAAAAAGCAGGUACGGUUGAGUGGAACAACACACCUGCUAGUGGCAUGCAAGUACAGGUGGGCUCCUGGAGUAAGGUUAGAGUGGAUCUCCCAAGUACCAUCUCCUCUCCAUUGUCCACAGUUGUGCUUUCUACAGUUUUAGUUGCCCAAAGUCAACUGCAAUUCAAAAAUAUUAAGUAAAAAAUUCUAAAAAUAACCAAGUCAUAAGUUUUAAAUUUCAUGCUAUUCUUAGUAGUGUGAUGAAAUCUGACACCAUCCUGUUCCUUCCUGCUUGGACAUGGGGGCCCCUUUGUCCAGCAUAUGCAUGCAGUGUACGUUAGACACUAGGUGUCUCAGUUACAGGUCAGCUGUGGCAGUAUCACAGCAAUUGUGUUCCAGUAACACUUAUUUUAUUUAAUAAUGGUCCCAAAGUGUAAGAGUUGUGAUGCUGACAAUUUGGAUAUUCCAAAGAGAAGCUGGAGAUGGGAUCCCUUUGAG
Phyllostomus discolor (pale spear-nosed bat) is the source of this 533-nucleotide long non-coding RNA. RefSeq lists it as uncharacterized. The transcript is spliced from 3 exons. The record is from RefSeq and is a predicted model, not a curated record. Lineage: Eukaryota; Metazoa; Chordata; Mammalia; Chiroptera; Phyllostomidae.